Molecule: ribosomal RNA, 950 nt
Filed under: uncultured marine bacterium
Lineage: Bacteria
Description: bacterial SSU rRNA
Rfam family: Bacterial small subunit ribosomal RNA
Source: RNAcentral
AGUCGAACGCAGUAGCAAUACUGAGUGGCAAACGGGUGAGUAUAAUGUGGGUAUCUGCCUUUUGGUUUGGAAUAACACGAGGAAACUUGUGCUAAUACCGGAUAAGCCUUCACAGGGAAAGUUUUAACGCCGAAAGAUGAGCCCGCACUUGAUUAGUUUGUUGGUGAGGUAAUGGCUCACCAAGACAAUUAUCAAUAGCUGGUCUGAGAGGACGAUCAGCCACAUUGGGACUGAGACACGGCCCAGACUCCUACGGGAGGCAGCAGUAAGGAAUCUUGCACAAUGGGGGAAACCCUGAUGCAGCGAUGCCGCGUGAGUGAAGAAGGCCCUUGGGUUGUAAAACUCUUUCGUCGGGGAAGAAAAUGACUGUACCCGAAUAAGAAGGUCCGGCUAACUUCGUGCCAGCAGCCGCGGUAAUACGAAGGGACCUAGCGUAGUUCGGAAUUACUGGGCUUAAAGAGCUCGUAGGUGGUUAAAAUAGUUGAUGGUGAAAUCCCAAGGCUCAACCUUGGAACUGCCAUCAAAACUUUUUAGCUAGAGUGUGAUAGAGGAAAGUGGAAUUUCUAGUGUAGAGGUGAAAUUCGUAGAUAUUAGAAAGAACACCAAAUGCGAAGGCAACUUUCUGGGUCACUACUGACACUGAGGAGCGAAAGCAUGGGUAGCGAAGAGGAUUAGAUACCCUCGUAGUCCAUGCCGUAAACGAUGUGUGCUAGACGUUGGAAAUAUAUUUUUCAGUGUCGCAGCGAAAGCAUUAAGCACACCGCCUGGGGAGUACGACCGCAAGGUUAAAACUCUAUGAAUUGACGGGGACCCGCACAAGCAGUGGAGCAUGUGGUUUAAUUCGAAGAUACGCGCAGAACCUUACCAACACUUGACAUGUUCGUCGCGAGACCAAGAGAUUGGUUUCUUCAUUUAGUUGGACGAAACACAGGUGCUGCAUGGCUGUCGUC